Molecule: ribosomal RNA, 460 nt
Filed under: uncultured bacterium
Lineage: Bacteria
Description: partial 16S ribosomal RNA
Rfam family: Bacterial small subunit ribosomal RNA
Source: RNAcentral
CCUACGGGAGGCAGCAGUGAGGAAUAUUGGUCAAUGGGCUUACGCCUGAACCAGCCAAGUCGCGUGAGGGAAGACUGCCCUAUGGGUUGUAAACUUCUUUUGUCAGGGAGCAAUUGGCGCUACGUGUAGCGUUAUCGAGAGUACCUGAAGAAAAAGCCUCGCCAAUGUCCGUGCCAGCAGCCGCGUUAAUCCGGAGGUUGCGACCGUUAUCGGGUUUUAUUGGGUUUAAAGGGUGCGUAGGCGGAAUGCCAAGUCAGCGGUAAAAGCGCGGGGCUCACCCUCGCUCCGCCGUUGAAACUGGCGUUCUUGAGUGGGCGAAAAGUAUGCGGAAUGCGUGGUGUAGCGGUGAAAUGCAUAGAUAUCACGCAGAACUCCGAUUGCGAAGGCAGCAUACCGGCGCCCAACUGACGCUGAAGCACGAAAGCGUGGGUAUCGAACAGGAUUAGAUACCCCAGUAGUC